This is a long non-coding RNA of Scomber japonicus (chub mackerel), 140 nucleotides long. RefSeq lists it as uncharacterized. The transcript has 3 exons. NCBI's taxonomy places the organism in Eukaryota, Metazoa, Chordata, Actinopteri, Scombriformes, Scombridae. The record is from RefSeq and is a predicted model, not a curated record.
CCAAUCUUCCACAUCGCCCUUGGGAGGAUGAUACAUUGCAUGCCGGGAACGGAGCCAAAGACAUGGCUCAGCAAGAGCCUCUGAACCCUACUCAGUUAAACGAGGAAUGGCUACAACAUCUUACAACAGCUGUCAUCCGC